Molecule: ribosomal RNA, 210 nt
Filed under: uncultured Enterobacteriaceae bacterium
Lineage: Bacteria; Pseudomonadati; Pseudomonadota; Gammaproteobacteria; Enterobacterales; Enterobacteriaceae
Description: partial 16S ribosomal RNA
Rfam family: Bacterial small subunit ribosomal RNA
Source: RNAcentral
GGGGCGGGGGCACGGGGGGCCUACGGGAGGCAGCAGUGGGGAAUAUUGCACAAUGGGCGCAAGCCUGAUGCAGCCAUGCCGCGUGUAUGAAGAAGGCCUUCGGGUUGUAAAGUACUUUCAGCGGGGAGGAAGGGAGUAAAGUUAAUACCUUUGCUCAUUGACGUUACCCGCAGAAGAAGCACCGGCUAACUCCGUGCCAGCAGCCGCGGU